GAUGAACGCUGGCGGCGUGCCUAAUACAUGCAAGUCGAGCGAACAGACGAGGAGCUUGCUCCUCUGACAUUAGCGGCGGACGGGUGAGUAACACGUGGAUAACCUACCUAUAAGACUGGGAUAACUUCGGGAAACCGGAGCUAAUACCGGAUAAUAUAUUGAACCGCAUGGUUCAAUAGUGAAAGACGGUUUUGCUGUCACUUAUAGAUGGAUCCGCGCCGCAUUAGCUAGUUGGUAAGGUAACGGCUUACCAAGGCGACGAUGCGUAGCCGACCUGAGAGGGUGAUCGGCCACACUGGAACUGGGACACGGUCCAGACUCCUACGGGAGGCAGCAGUAGGGAAUCUUCCGCAAUGGGCGAAAGCCUGACGGAGCAACGCCGCGUGAGUGAUGAAGGUCUUCGGAUCGUAAAACUCUGUUAUUAGGGAAGAACAAAUGUGUAAGUAACUAUGCACGUCUUGACGGUACCUAAUCAGAAAGCCACGGCUAACUACGUG
RNAcentral lists this ribosomal RNA (497 nucleotides) under uncultured bacterium. RNAcentral describes it as "partial 16S ribosomal RNA". It matches the Rfam family "Bacterial small subunit ribosomal RNA", at positions 28 to 507 of the family's 1533-position model. The record is from RNAcentral.